CUGAACAAACGGCACUUUUUUUAGAUUUAAGUCAUCUUGUCUGUUUCUGCAGAAGUUUCUGAAAAGCUCUUACUUCCUUGUUUACAGUGUGGAUAGAUUCACAUGUGGGGAUGAGACGGGACCUGAAUUCGUGCAGGACAAAAGUCUGGACACCCUGGAUUCUCCUACCAGUGAGCGCAAGCCUUUCCGUUCUUCCAGCAGCAACCAGAAGGAAUCAGAGCUGUUUGAAAUCAUUGAGAAGCUGCAGGUGAGUUACAGUGUCCAUCAUUUUGUGCAGUGUGUGCAUCCAUCAAUGCCUGAGCAGCAGAUGUUUGUAAUCACUAAAGCUCUU
This is a long non-coding RNA of Astatotilapia calliptera (eastern happy), 331 nucleotides long. NCBI's taxonomy places the organism in Eukaryota, Metazoa, Chordata, Actinopteri, Cichliformes, Cichlidae. The record is from Ensembl.